RNAcentral lists this ribosomal RNA (253 nucleotides) under uncultured prokaryote. RNAcentral describes it as "partial 16S ribosomal RNA". It matches the Rfam family "Bacterial small subunit ribosomal RNA", at positions 524 to 776 of the family's 1533-position model. The record is from RNAcentral.
UACGUAGGGGGCCAGCGUUGUCCGAAGUUACUGGGCGUAAAGAGCGCGUAGGCGGGUCUUUAAGUGAGAGGUGAAAUUCUGAGGCUCAACCUCGGAACUGCCUUUCAUACUGGGGACCUUGAGUGCGGGAGAGGCGAGUGGAAUGGUCGGUGUAGCGGUGAAAUGCGUAGAUAUCGAUCGGAACACCCAUGGCGAAGGCAGCUCGCUGGCCUGCAGCUGACGCUGAGGCGCGAAAGCCGGGGGAGCAAACAGG